UACGGAGGGUGCAAGCGUUAUCCGGAUUUACUGGGCGUAAAGGGCGCGUAGGCGGUCAGCACAAGUCAGUUGUGAAAUCUCCGGGCUUAACUCGGAAAGGUCAACUGAUACUGUGCGACUAGAGUGCGGAAGGGGCAACUGGAAUUCUCGGUGUAGCGGUGAAAUGCGUAGAUAUCGAGAGGAACACCUGCGGCGAAGGCGGGUUGCUGGGCCGACACUGACGCUGAUGCGCGAAAGCCAGGGGAGCGAACGGG
This 254-nucleotide ribosomal RNA is filed under the name uncultured bacterium. Its description in RNAcentral is "partial 16S ribosomal RNA". It matches the Rfam family "Bacterial small subunit ribosomal RNA", at positions 524 to 776 of the family's 1533-position model. The record is from RNAcentral.